RNAcentral lists this ribosomal RNA (460 nucleotides) under uncultured bacterium. Its description in RNAcentral is "partial 16S ribosomal RNA". It matches the Rfam family "Bacterial small subunit ribosomal RNA", at positions 338 to 795 of the family's 1533-position model. The record is from RNAcentral.
CCUACGGGAGGCAGCAGUGAGGCAUAUUGGUCAAUGGGCGGACGCCUGAACCAGCCAAGUAGCGUGCAGGAUGACGGCCCUACGGGUUGUAAACUGCUUUUAUACGGGAAUAACGCGCCUUACUUGUAGGGCUUUUCAUGUACCGUCUUAAUAAGGACCGGCUAAUUCCGUGCCAUCAGCCGCGGUAAUACGGAAGGUCCGGGCGUUCGCCGGAUUUAUUGUGUUUAAAGGGAUCGUAGGCCGCAUGUCAAGCGUGCUGUGAAAUGUCCGGGCUCAACCCGGGCCUUGCAGCGCGAACUGGCGUGCUUGAGUCCGCGGAAAGCAGGCGGAAUUCGUCGUGUAGCGGUGAAAUGCUUAGAUAUGACGAAGAACCCCGAUUGCGAAGGCAGCUUGCUGCAGCGGAACUGACGCUGAUGCUCGAAAGCGCGGGUAUCGAACAGGAUUAGAUACCCUGGUAGUC